GCAAGCAGCUUGCUGCUUUGCUGACGAGUGGCGGACGGGUGAGUAAUGUCUGGGAAACUGCCUGAUGGAGGGGGAUAACUACUGGAAACGGUAGCUAAUACCGCAUAACGUCGCAAGACCAAAGAGGGGGACCUUCGGGCCUCUUGCCAUCGGAUGUGCCCAGAUGGGAUUAGCUAGUAGGUGGGGUAACGGCUCACCUAGGCGACGAUCCCUAGCUGGUCUGAGAGGAUGACCAGCCACACUGGAACUGAGACACGGUCCAGACUCCUACGGGAGGCAGCAGUGGGGAAUAUUGCACAAUGGGCGCAAGCCUGAUGCAGCCAUGCCGCGUGUAUGAAGAAGGCCUUCGGGUUGUAAAGUACUUUCAGCGGGGAGGAAGGGAGUAAAGUUAAUACCUUUGCUCAUUGACGUUACCCGCAGAAGAAGCACCGGCUAACUCCGUGCCAGCAGCCGCGGUAAUACGGAGGGUGCAAGCGUUAAUCGGAAUUACUGGGCGUAAAGCGCACGCAGGCGGUUUGUUAAGUCAGAUGUGAAAUCCCCGGGCUCAACCUGGGAACUGCAUCUGAUACUGGCAAGCUUGAGUCUCGUAGAGGGGGGUAGAAUUCCAGGUGUAGCGGUGAAAUGCGUA
RNAcentral lists this ribosomal RNA (628 nucleotides) under Escherichia coli. Its description in RNAcentral is "bacterial SSU rRNA". It matches the Rfam family "Bacterial small subunit ribosomal RNA", at positions 71 to 692 of the family's 1533-position model. Lineage: Bacteria; Pseudomonadati; Pseudomonadota; Gammaproteobacteria; Enterobacterales; Enterobacteriaceae. The record is from RNAcentral.